Brassica rapa (field mustard) is the source of this 291-nucleotide long non-coding RNA. RefSeq lists it as uncharacterized. NCBI's taxonomy places the organism in Eukaryota, Viridiplantae, Streptophyta, Magnoliopsida, Brassicales, Brassicaceae. The record is from RefSeq and is a predicted model, not a curated record.
CAGCAAACUUUGGUUUUAGCAAAAAGGAAAAAAAUAAUUGAAUGAAGACGAAAAGUUGUUCCACUGCUCCUUGGAAAGUGACAGACAGGCCCGAUCUAGUCACACGUCAACACUUCACUCUAUUUCAAAUAGUACUGUGUAUGAUUUACAACUUGAAAACAAAAACAAAAAAAAAUCAAAACCAUAUUUCCAUAUUUCUAUGUCGACACUUCAGCUGUAGAGGAUAAAUUGAAAACUGAAAACAUUUAUGUGAAUAGAACUUGAGGAAGAAUUAAAUCUAGUACUAUUAAG